Molecule: ribosomal RNA, 630 nt
Filed under: Triticum aestivum (bread wheat)
Lineage: Eukaryota; Viridiplantae; Streptophyta; Magnoliopsida; Poales; Poaceae
Description: partial small subunit ribosomal RNA
Source: RNAcentral
CAGAAAUCAAUUUUUGUUUAUUCCACGCCCUUAUGUCCGUUGCAUGUUAUUCUCAGGGAAGCAGUAAUAUGUUGCUUCCCUUCUUUUUUUGGUGCAGGCGGCGAUGAGUAUGAAAGUUGGAUCGAAUACCGAGAGUUUUAUAGCACCCUAGAAACUGAUAGAGAUUAUCUGCUGUACUGGAAAACGAUUGUGAAGGAUCUUAAGUGGAUUGAAGAACAUGUGCUUAAAGGCUAUUUGGAGUGGCAUGAAUUGCGUGCAAAAGCUUGGCGCCAAGCAGUUAGGAUUGCUACUAGGUUCGAAAACAUUCCUCUGAGCCUAGCAUAUUAUGGUUUUCAGAUGUCUUUCAGAGAUGCUAUGGAGCAUGUGUAUAAGAAGAACCCGUUUCCAUUACGCAAACGUGAUUUGGAGCAUGAGCUGAGUCACCCUGUCUCGUUGGGAUUGGAGGAAGAAUUUCGACGGUGCACGGAGGGCAUCAGCAAGGAAGUUCCACAGUGGAUAGCGCGUGUGUUAAUUUCACAGGAAGUUAGUUUCAAGUGUGAUCUGCCGAGGAGGUAUGUGCAGUACGCCAGGAAGAAGCUCAAGAUUGCAGAGGUCAUAGGAUUGAUUUCCAAGGCCAAGAUAACAGCAUAG